RNAcentral lists this ribosomal RNA (468 nucleotides) under uncultured bacterium. RNAcentral describes it as "partial 16S ribosomal RNA". It matches the Rfam family "Bacterial small subunit ribosomal RNA", at positions 28 to 507 of the family's 1533-position model. The record is from RNAcentral.
GACGAACGCUGGCGGCGUGCUUAACACAUGCAAGUCGAACGGAAAGACCCUGCUUUUGUUGGUUUCUCGAGUGCCGAGCGCGUGAGUAACACAUGUGUAACCUCCCCUUAACUUUCUGAUAACUUCAGGAAACUCGGGCUAAUACCCGAUAUGAGCUCCUGCUGCAUGGUGUUGGUUGGAAAGUUUCGGCUGUUGGGGAUGGUCUGGCGGCUUAUCAGCUUGUUUGUGUGGUAGUUGCUUACCAAGGCUUUGACGGAUAGCCGGCAUGAGAGGGUGAACGGGGACAUGGGGACUGCGAUACGGAGCAGUAGGCAACGGGAGGCAGUAGUGGGGAAUAUGGCAGAACAGGGGGAAGCGAGAGGUAAAAAUGCUGGGAGCGGGAUGACGGGCUUCGGGUUGUAAACAAAUUUGGAAGGUGAUGAAGAGUGAGUGACGGUAAUGGGUAAAGAAGCAACGGCUAACUACGUG